GAUGAACGCUGGCGGCGUGCUUAAUACAUGCAAGUCGAGCGAACAGACGAGGAGCUUGCUGCUCUGACGUUAGCGGCGGACGGGUGAGUAACACGUGGAUAACCUACCUAUAAGACUGGGAGAACUUCGGGAAACCGGAGCGAAUACCGGAUAAUAUAUUGAACCGCAUGGUUCAAUAGUGAAAGACGGUUUUGCUGUCACUUAUAGAUGGAUCCGCGCCGCAUUAGCUAGUUGGUAAGGUAACGGCUUACCAAGGCAACGAUGCGUAGCCGACCUGAGAGGGUGAUCGGCCACACUGGAAGUGAGACACGGUCCAGACUCCUACGGGAGGCAGCAGUAGGGAAUCUUACGCAAUGGGCGGAAGCCUGACGGAGCAACGCCGCGUGAGUGAUGAAGGUCUUCGGAUCGUAAAACUCUGUUAUUAGGGGAGAACAAAUGUGUAAGUAACUAUGCACGUCUUGACGGUACCUAGUCAAGGAGCCACGGCUAACUACGUG
Molecule: ribosomal RNA, 497 nt
Filed under: uncultured bacterium
Lineage: Bacteria
Description: partial 16S ribosomal RNA
Rfam family: Bacterial small subunit ribosomal RNA
Source: RNAcentral